Molecule: ribosomal RNA, 120 nt
Filed under: Chaetoceros socialis
Lineage: Eukaryota; Bacillariophyta; Thalassiosirophyceae; Chaetocerotales; Chaetocerotaceae
Description: partial 5.8S ribosomal RNA
Rfam family: 5.8S ribosomal RNA
About the family: 5.8S ribosomal RNA (5.8S rRNA) is a component of the large subunit of the eukaryotic ribosome. It is transcribed by RNA polymerase I as part of the 45S precursor that also contains 18S and 28S rRNA.
Source: RNAcentral
UACAACUUUCAGCGAUGGAUGUCUAGGCUCCCACAACGAUGAAGAACGCAGCGAAAUGCGAUACGUAAUGCGAAUUGCAGGACUUCGUGAAUCAUCAAAAUUUUGAACGCACAUUGCGCU